UGAACGAAAACGCCGACAACAACCGGACAACAACCCCUGCAGGCUUGGCAUGGCUUCCCGGUGCUGGAAGAGAAGUAACUGAUGCUGUGCCAUGUCACCCCCAAUACAGCAAAAUCAGGGUGUAAAAAGAAAAUACAGAAGGAGAAGGAGAGAAAGCAAGCUGAGAGAAUGUGUUUUUCUCCACCUGUUUAUUUCACAGGAAAGGCCACCGCCCUGAGAGGACAAAGAGGGAUCGCCAUGGAUGGAGGAGCUGGAACUCAGAAAAGACCUCAUAAAGGGAUCUGUGUGCUGCAGCGCUUGAGGGAUGGAGGGAUCAGCCUGGAAAGUGAAACUUCAGCUAGUGUUGUAUUAAAGUUCAUUGCCACAGGGCUUUUGUGGGUUUGUGCCAAUGCCCAGACAAUGAUAGUUUAUGUCAGUGUAGAUGCAUUGCUAGACAGCAUCCUCUCCUGCUGAGCUGCUUUAUUCACAGUCCCAUGACUGUGAGCUGGGCUGAUGUGAGUUUUGAAACUGACGUUAGUAUGAUAUGCUAGACACUGUAGACAGAUAUAAGAAUAUACUCAUGAAUA
Molecule: long non-coding RNA, 566 nt
Organism: Notolabrus celidotus (New Zealand spotty)
Lineage: Eukaryota; Metazoa; Chordata; Actinopteri; Labriformes; Labridae
Exons: 3
Source: RefSeq, a predicted model, not a curated record